CCUACGGGUGGCAGCAGUGGGGAAUAUUGGGCAAUGGAGGAAACUCUGACCCAGCAAUGCCGCGUGAGUGAAGAAGGUCUUCGGAAUGUAAAGUUCUUUAGUCAGGGAAGAAGUCAAUGACGGUACCUGAAGAAUAAGCUCCGGCUAACUACGUGCAAGCAGCGGCGGGAAUACGUAGGGAGCAAGCGUUGUUCGGAAUGACUGGGCGUAAAGGGUGCGUAGGCGGUUGUACAAGUCAGAAGGGAAAUACCCAGGGCUUAACUCGGGGGGUGCUUCUAAAACUGGAUGACUUGAGUGGAGGAGAGGUUAGUGGAAGUCGUGGUGUAGCGGUGGAAUGCGUAGAUAUUGGGCGGAACCCC
This 359-nucleotide ribosomal RNA is filed under the name uncultured bacterium. RNAcentral describes it as "partial 16S ribosomal RNA". It matches the Rfam family "Bacterial small subunit ribosomal RNA", at positions 338 to 710 of the family's 1533-position model. The record is from RNAcentral.